GAUGUCUGAGCAGAAUAUUUUCUUUGCUGUGCUUAUUCCAGGCUAAAAAGCUAGCUCCCCUAAAAGCUAACAGCCCGUCUCACUACUUCAUACUACCAGCUUGCUACAGAAACCCAGUCCAAGGAGAGUCCAGCGUAGCAGCAGGAAGUGAACUCAUCCAGGAGGCAGCAGCAGUAUUUUCUGUCCCCACACUGGAGGAACCUGGGAUAAGACAAUCCCAGACUCGUUACCACCUUGCCCACUUUCCUUCACACCAAAGCAGUUUGGAAUGAAACAGGGGAACGUCUUUGACCCACUCAAACUCCAAAUGUUAGUUUAGACACUAAGCCACUGAACCAAGAUUCUCUGGCUUGAAAGGCACUGGGAUAGGGAGGAGCAAGUGCAUUGAUUGGUGGCACUCAUCACUUUCACUUCUGUUUCUAUCAUCAAGGAAGUGCAAGCAUUACUGAGAGCUAGCUGUAUUUUCCACCUGCUCCAGUUACUGAGUGUGAUAGAGUCAGUGCCAAAAGCAGGUAUCACAAGGGAUUUAUUACACUUCUGUGAAUUUUUCCUGGGAGGGGAGGAAAGGAAGAGAGCCAAAAAUGUUACAAGGAAGGAAGCCAUCAACUGAGAAUUCCUCUGAAUUGUUCCUGCACAAGAAACAGAUGAAACCACAGAACGCUCUGUGUACAAAGUGCAAAGUACAAAAGCUAGUUUAAUUGCCAGUGUUUGUUGUA
Molecule: long non-coding RNA, 716 nt
Organism: Mauremys reevesii (Reeves's turtle)
Lineage: Eukaryota; Metazoa; Chordata; Testudines; Geoemydidae
Exons: 3
Source: RefSeq, a predicted model, not a curated record